GAUGAGCGCUGGCGGCGUGCUUAACACAUGCAAGUCGAACGAAGCACCUUGAUUCGAUUCUUCGGAUGAAGAUCUUGGUGACUGAGUGGCGGACGGGUGAGUAACGCGUGGGUAACCUGCCUCAUACAGGGGGAUAACAGUUAGAAAUGACUGCUAAUACCGCAUAAGACCACAGCACCGCAUGGUGCAGGGGUAAAAACUCCGGUGGUAUGAGAUGGACCCGCGUCUGAUUAGGUAGUUGGUGGGGUAACGGCCUACCAAGCCGACGAUCAGUAGCCGACCUGAGAGGGUGACCGGCCACAUUGGGACUGAGACACGGCCCAAACUCCUACGGGAGGCAGCAGUGGGGAAUAUUGCACAAUGGGGGAAACCCUGAUGCAGCGACGCCGCGUGAGCGAUGAAGUAUUUCGGUAUGUAAAGCUCUAUCAGCAGGGAAGAAAAUGACGGUACCUGACUAAGAAGCACCGGCUAAAUACGUG
This 479-nucleotide ribosomal RNA is filed under the name uncultured bacterium. RNAcentral's name for it is "partial 16S ribosomal RNA". It matches the Rfam family "Bacterial small subunit ribosomal RNA", at positions 28 to 507 of the family's 1533-position model. The record is from RNAcentral.